RNAcentral lists this ribosomal RNA (465 nucleotides) under Vreelandella stevensii. RNAcentral describes it as "partial 16S ribosomal RNA". It matches the Rfam family "Bacterial small subunit ribosomal RNA", at positions 338 to 795 of the family's 1533-position model. Lineage: Bacteria; Pseudomonadati; Pseudomonadota; Gammaproteobacteria; Oceanospirillales; Halomonadaceae. The record is from RNAcentral.
CCUACGGGUGGCAGCAGUGGGGAAUAUUGGACAAUGGGGGGAACCCUGAUCCAGCCAUGCCGCGUGUGUGAAGAAGGCCCUCGGGUUGUAAAGCACUUUCAGUGAGGAAGAACGCCUGGUGGUUAAUACCCAUCAGGAAAGACAUCACUCACAGAAGAAGCACCGGCUAACUCCGUGCCAGCAGCCGCGGUAAUACGGAGGGUGAGAGCGUUAAUCGGAAUUACUGGGCGUAAAGCGCGCGUAGGUGGCUUGAUAAGCCGGUUGUGAAAGCCCCGGGCUCAACCUGGGAACGGCAUCCGGAACUGUCAAGCUAGAGUGCAGGAGAGGAAGGUAGAAUUCCCGGUGUAGCGGUGAAAUGCGUAGAGAUCGGGAGGAAUACCAGUGGCGAAGGCGGCCUUCUGGACUGACACUGACACUGAGGUGCGAAAGCGUGGGUAGCAAACAGGAUUAGAUACCCCUGUAGUC